AGGGGGUUAGUUUAAUUAAAACCGCUAAUUUCGGCUUAGUAAAUUCUGAUUUCCAGAACCCCUAA
RNAcentral lists this transfer RNA (65 nucleotides) under Eremias przewalskii. RNAcentral describes it as "tRNA-Arg". The record is from RNAcentral. Lineage: Eukaryota; Metazoa; Chordata; Lepidosauria; Squamata; Lacertidae.